UCAGUAGUAUUUCGAAUAAAGCGGUAGAAAGUGGUUGUGUUCAUGUUAGUGAUCGAAAUUAUCAAUUAUUUUUCUUUUAUUUCCAAAUGAAUGUACUUAUAUUUUUCAAAUUUAUUGAAAAUUUAUCUUUAAAAUGGAUUCUGCGCAUGCGUAAAUGUUUUAACCGCGGAAAGCACUGCUCAAAUAAGAAAAGUUAUAUAGUGGCGCCAAAAAAUAAUAACCUCAUUGCGGGAUUAUAUAAGUUACAUUGUUGUGAUCAAGAAUUUUAUUAUUUAUGAGUUAUUGCAAAUAUAUGUGAAAGAUGAUAUUCAGAAGUGCUAUGUAUACCUAGUAUUCGUAGAAGUGAAUUGGGUGAUAAAUCUUCGUGCUGAAUCAAAUAAAAGCAAAGGUGUUCUCAUGCAUAAAUUCCGCACGCGCGGCGUGAUGUACAUAUAUCGAUGAGAUAGCGUAGAAUCAUAAAUAUUGUGCAUUUUUAGUCGGUGAUCAAGAUUUCAAAGUGCAAUACUUCGUUCUCAUGGUUAACCAGGCAUGUCAUUUUUUCACUUUAACCAGAGACAAGAACCUGGUUCUUCGACAUUUCUCUACUUCCUGGGUCUUAGAUAGAUAUCUUAUUGUAAUAUAAAAAAUGCGUAUUGAUAGAGAAAUAAAAAUAUGAAAAUUCGGAAAGACAGUAAAAAAAUCACAAGCGCUGAGUAUGGCGUCCAGCAGUGUACUGCUCAAACGAACGAAGGCUGGAAAAAUAUGAAAAAAUCAAUCAUAUUAACGAUUGCUGGAUUAGUUGAAUUCUUUUUACCAGAGAUGAACUAAGAUGAAAGCAUAGAGAGAGGACGCCGCAAUCGGUGAGUACUUUUUAUCAACUGAAAGUAUACAAUGAGACAAAUAUUUCGCGCCCAAAUUUUUAUUUUUACUUUUUGUAUGAAAAAAACAUAUUCAUAUACGAAUAAUAUUUGAAAGUUGUUUUAUUGAGACUUUACAACAAUCAGCAUGCAAAGAUUACAUUGAAUCUUACAGCGAUAUUCAUUUAUUUCAACGCAUUUGCUAAAUAUACAAUUUGAUUACAACAAAACCAUUUAUAUUAAGUAAAGAACAUUGUUAGUGCUGUAAAAGAUACUCUUGAUUACACUUGAAUGAU
Molecule: long non-coding RNA, 1132 nt
Filed under: Apis dorsata (giant honeybee)
Lineage: Eukaryota; Metazoa; Arthropoda; Insecta; Hymenoptera; Apidae
Description: uncharacterized LOC102681130, transcript variant X1
Source: RNAcentral